CCAUAUGUGUUUACUUUACAGUUUCAGACUCUUUGUUUAACUUCAUGUUCAGUAAUUUGUGCUAAAUAUUUCCCUUCCUUGCUCCUGAUUAUGUUGUGGACCCCUACCCAUAUUCCCUUCUAUGUGCCUGAGUUAGGGUUUUGACUUGACAGUAUCCUAAUUACUGUCCAGGCCAUAACCUAAUCAACAAUGGAUCCUAACUCUCAUUGCUUGGCUAACAAGCUGGUCAGGGGUGUGUUUGAAUUCCAAUUGCUGGGGAUGACCACCAGCCUGCGAUGCCUCUCCUUGAUCCCUUUUCCCCUGAGCACUUACACUUAUUGCUAUACUCUUAAGUUCUGCCCCUCUCUUAUGAGCCUUGCUUUGGAACCUUGAGUUCCCUCUGAACUUGAACAUUUGAGGGCUGGUCAUUCACACUGCACUAUGAUCUUAAUUCUUCAAUGUAUUUGGGGUGUAAGCACUGCCCGGAGCACUUUGAGGCCCUUGGGAACUUUGACACAUCCAAAAUAUGAGAAAGGCUUUGGGAAAUGUGAUCCUGGAAGUUGAUUUAUCUCAUAUUUUUUGGACUUUGAGUCUGAAUUAGGCUAUUUGGAUGUAGCUGGAACUUUUGAUGUAAUUUUACUUUUCCUUUUUUUUGGGUCAUUCCGGGCUGUAAUAAUUUGUAAUAACUUAUGGG
Molecule: long non-coding RNA, 673 nt
Filed under: Nicotiana benthamiana
Lineage: Eukaryota; Viridiplantae; Streptophyta; Magnoliopsida; Solanales; Solanaceae
Description: long non-coding RNA (NBEN_LNC012672)
Source: RNAcentral